RNAcentral lists this long non-coding RNA (2176 nucleotides) under Lactuca sativa (garden lettuce). RNAcentral describes it as "long non-coding RNA (LSAT_LNC002984)". The record is from RNAcentral. Lineage: Eukaryota; Viridiplantae; Streptophyta; Magnoliopsida; Asterales; Asteraceae.
CCAAAUCCCUUAUGUCUCUCUAAUUGCUCUCUUCCAUCUCUCUAUAUAUCAUCUCUUAUCUCAGUUGAUUAAUAAACAUUGCUUGUGGAAGAACCCUUCGCCAUCGCUUCUCUCGAACUCUCUAAUAAGAGCCCUAAUUCAUAUCCCUCCUAUUCCAUUUAUGGUUCUUGUAUCCACAUUUGCCUCCUCCGCUGGUAUCUCCUGCAAGCUAGGUAGGUUUUUUUCUUCACAAAUUCAUGAUUUCAUUGUUUUUCUUCACAAUUUCAGGUUGAUUAUCGAGUUUUCUUUAACGAUUUAAGGUUGUGCGACAUUAUUUAGGGCUUCAUUCACAACUAUCUCUUUCUAACACUGUAUAUGUGUGCGUGUGUUUAUUUCAUGGAACUGGAUUGAAAUUUAGAUACCAAUGACCACCAUCUUCGAUUUUUAGCACCACCCGAAGAAAUGUUCGAUUCUCAACAUCACCCAUUUAGCAGAUUUUGAAAUCACACCAUCGUCACCAACAUUCACAUAAGACACCACAACACUCACCACCAUUGAACAACUACCACAUGCUACCUUCUUUCCAGUAGUAUCCCUUCUGAACCUUAAAGUUUAACCACCCAAAUUUUCUUAUUUUAUCUGUUAAUCAUUGAUUUAGGGGUUUGGUUGUGGCUGCCUUUUCCCUUCUCUGCGUUUUUCUCUAAACAGAAACACCUGAUGGAUGUGUACUGAGAGAUUGAUCAAGAAGCAAGAGGAAUCUAUUUCACGAAAAACAGAUUCACAAGGAUUCGAAGAAAUCCUUCUCUCAAAGAAGGAGGUAAAUAUUCUAACAAUUGUAAUUUUAAUCUAUCGAAAAUCAUUAGAGGUUUUCUAGAUCCUAUACCUCGAGUUGUGUGUCUCCUAACCAUUUUUCCCUUGAUUUUAAUUAGUUUUGUGCUCCUUUUUCUUAUUAAUGUACAUCUUUUUUCAAAGAUAAAAGAAUACAUUGCAACUCCAAACCAAUGGUAUCAAUGCCUUCAUAUAAUUGUAAUUCCAUUUCUGUAUGGGAGCAUGUUUCAUCUGGAAGUUUGGGUACCAAAAUUAUUCAUUGGGCUUUAGUUUGGAUUUUCAUGAUUUGUGGUUUAGUUGUACGAUUAUAGUGGCCUGUCAUGACUUAGAUCCGUUUAGGUAUACUUUUCUCACAAAUCAACAUCUGGAUAGCCAAUUACACGUCUCCACAAAUCUUCGACAUCAUUUUAAACAUUUAUUAGGAGAUGUGUGUGUGACUAAACUGUUGUUCAAAAAGGGCGGAGUUUAUGUGUGAUGUGUUAUGUUUCCUAAUUCAGCUUCAAAUUUGAGCCUAGCUAAACCAUUGAUUUGAAUAAGAAGAUGUUAAACAAGCUAAUCAAAAGGAUAUUAGAUCCUAAUCCUAUGACAGUAAGUUCAUAUAGUCAUUUUUUAUUUAUUAACUAAAAAUAUUAACCCAUAUUUUAGUUUUUCUUUCACAGAAAAUUGUUGAAGUGGUUGAGAAUGAAUGGUUUAAGAAAGGAUACAUGGUUGAGAUCAUAUUAUACAUGUUUUUGUGUUUAUUUAAGGUGUUAGAAAUAGUUUGAACUUUUCAGAAGAUUGGAAAAUACUAACGCACUUCUCUACUUUUUUGUUCUGUUUUACAAAAUAUUUUUCUUACUUAAUUUCAAACCAACAUGCAAUUUAUUGUUACUUGAGAGUGUAAUUUUUGAAAUUAAUACAUUUCUUUUUAAACAAAAGAUGCUAAUAAACUUUAUAAAUGAUUCGGUGGAAGAAAUCUUAAAUAUGCAAGUGGCUAUUCUAAGUUGUUUGGAGUGAUUUAAAAAAAAAAAUAUUGAUUUAUUUAUUAUUGAUUUUCAAGUAUUUUUUUAACUAGACCUUGAACAAAUGAAGAUGUGAAAAUAAAAUGACUUACAUUUGCGAGAUUGGUAUACAAGUUUUUAUUUUCCUAAUGUAAAAUUCAUCAGUUGUCAUAGAGAAAAAUUCACCAUAAUCUUACCUGCAUUUGCGGAACACCCAUCUUUUAUUGUAUGAAUUCUCUCAUUUUGAUAAAACUUUGUUGAUAUUGCAGAUUUUGUGGUGCAUCCUAGAGGCUCAAAUGUUUUUGUUUAUAUUUCAUUUUUAUUAUUUAGCAUAUUUAAACAUUAUUUAAAAGGUUAUGUAUUGUAUUCGUCGCUCAUAAUUACAUGGC